AAGAAAUAUUCUGUUUCUGGCCUCCCAUCUUGGUGGGGGAUGUGCAGGCUGAGAACACAGGAGCUGACUUCUAUUGUAUCAGCUGAGACUGCAGGGUAGACUGCAAGAAGUGCCUCCUUGCUGAUGGACUGGCAGAUGAGAGUGGAGGUUGUAAAUCACCCUCCAUGCAAUGGUUCAUCAUAAAGGAUAUGGAGCAAAAUUAGAGGAGGCACGAGAAGGAAAGCCGGUGAUGAACAAGGAAAGUGCCUGGUUGAAGCUAGCUUGCAAUCCCAAAGUCAGAAGGUUGCCUGGGAAGCCAUGAAACAAAGCCAAAUCAAGGCAAAGCAGACACAUGGAGAUUUUGAGACUGAGAAGAGGAAAACUGAGGACAUUCAUGUGAGAUGGUUUCAAGUUUCCCUUAGAAGGAGAAGUUAUCUUCAGAAGGUCAGGUUGGUGAGGUGGGAGUUCAAAAACAACAAAGUAUGUAGCUACCAUUGUGAGGAAGACCAUGGA
This 492-nucleotide long non-coding RNA is filed under the name Homo sapiens (human). RNAcentral's name for it is "long intergenic non-protein coding RNA 877". Lineage: Eukaryota; Metazoa; Chordata; Mammalia; Primates; Hominidae. The record is from RNAcentral.